This 426-nucleotide ribosomal RNA is filed under the name uncultured beta proteobacterium. RNAcentral's name for it is "bacterial SSU rRNA". It matches the Rfam family "Bacterial small subunit ribosomal RNA", at positions 356 to 774 of the family's 1533-position model. Lineage: Bacteria; Pseudomonadati; Pseudomonadota; Betaproteobacteria. The record is from RNAcentral.
GGGGAAUUUUGGACAAUGGGGGAAACCUUGAUCAAGCAACCCCGGGGUUCCGAGGAAGGCCUCCGGGUGGUAAAGACCUUUUGCCGGGAAGGAAACGGGCGGGCCUAAUCCCCCCCAUAAAGAAGGGAACCGGCGAAAUAAGCACGGGCUAACAAGGUGCCAGCAGCCGCGGUAAUACGUAGGGUGCGAGCGUUAAUCGGAAUUACUGGGCGUAAAGCGUACGCAGGCGGCUUGGUAAGACAGGCGUGAAAUCCCCGGGCUUAACCUGGGAACUGCGCUUGUGACUGCCAGGCUAGAGUCUGUCAGAGGGGGGUGGAAUUCCACGUGUAGCAGUGAAAUGCGUAGAGAUGUGGAGGAACACCGAUGGCGAAGGCAGCCCCCUGGGAUAAGACUGACGCUCAUGUACGAAAGCGUGGGGAGCAAACA